CCUACGGGAGGCAGCAGUGGGGAAUAUUGCACAAUGGGCGCAAGCCUGAUGCAGCGACGCCGCGUGAGGGAUGACGGCCUUCGGGUUGUAAACCUCUUUCAGUAGGGAAGAAGCGAAAGUGACGGUACCUGCAGAAGAAGCGCCGGCUAACUACGUGCCAGCAGCCGCGGUAAUACGUAGGGCGCAAGCGUUAUCCGGAAUUAUUGGGCGUAAAGAGCUCGUAGGCGGUUUGUCGCGUCUGCUGUGAAAGACCGGGGCUCAACUCCGGUUCUGCAGUGGGUACGGGCAGACUAGAGUGCAGUAGGGGAGACUGGAAUUCCUGGUGUAGCGGUGAAAUGCGCAGAUAUCAGGAGGAACACCGAUGGCGAAGGCAGGUCUCUGGGCUGUAACUGACGCUGAGGAGCGAAAGCAUGGGGAGCGAACAGGAUUAGAUACCCUGGUAGUCCAUGCCGUAAACGUUGGGCACUAGGUGUGGGGGACAUUCCACGUUUUCCGCGCCGUAGCUAACGCAUUAAGUGCCCCGCCUGGGGAGUACGGCGCGAGACGAACGACGAAGAAGUAGACGCGUGAGACGUGCGACGGACGACGACGAGGGAGAGG
Molecule: ribosomal RNA, 600 nt
Filed under: uncultured bacterium
Lineage: Bacteria
Description: bacterial SSU rRNA
Rfam family: Bacterial small subunit ribosomal RNA (bases 1-525)
Source: RNAcentral